This 274-nucleotide ribosomal RNA is filed under the name uncultured bacterium. RNAcentral's name for it is "partial 16S ribosomal RNA". It matches the Rfam family "Archaeal small subunit ribosomal RNA", at positions 473 to 747 of the family's 1478-position model. The record is from RNAcentral.
AAACCAGCACCUCAAGUGGUCAGGAUGAUUAUUGGGCCUAAAGCAUCCGUAGCCUGCUCUGUAAGUUUUCGGUUAAAUCUGUACGCUUAACGUACAGGCUGCCGGGAAUACUGCAGAGCUAGGGAGUGGGAGAGGUAGACGGUACUCGGGAGGAAGUGGUAAAAUGCUUUGAUCUCUCGAUGACCACCUGUGGCGAAGGCGGUCUACCAGAACACGUCCGACGGUGAGGGAUGAAAGCUGGGGGAGCAAACCGGAUUAGAAACCCGUGUAGUCC